AAUGAACAUUGGCGGCGUGGAUUAGGCAUGCAAGUCGAGCGGUAAGGCCCUUCGGGGUACACGAGCGGCAAACGGGGUAGUCAUACGUGGGAACGUACCUUCCAGACCGGGAUAGCCAUGGGAAACUGUGGGUAAUACCGGAUAAUCUCUUCGGAGCAAAUGGUUUUCCGCUGGAAGAGCGGCUCACGCGAUACUAGGUAGUUGGUAAGGUAAUGGCUUACCAAGCCUGUGAUGUCCAGGGGGUGUGAGAGCAUGGCCCCCACCACCGGAACUGAGACACUGUCCGGACACCUACGGGUGGCUGCAGUCGAGAAUCUUCCACAAUGGGCGCAAGCCUGAUGGAGCGACGCCGCGUGCGGGACGACGGCCUUCGGGUUGUAAACCGCUGUCAGAGAGGAGCAAAGCUGAUUUACUUCAGUUUGAGCGAGUCUCAAAGGAAGCACAGGCUAAGUACG
This 455-nucleotide ribosomal RNA is filed under the name uncultured Planctomyces sp. Its description in RNAcentral is "bacterial SSU rRNA". It matches the Rfam family "Bacterial small subunit ribosomal RNA", at positions 29 to 505 of the family's 1533-position model. The record is from RNAcentral. Lineage: Bacteria; Pseudomonadati; Planctomycetota; Planctomycetia; Planctomycetales; Planctomycetaceae.